UUUUACAUGGUUAUUGUUGUGUUUAUAACUCUUGUAAGUGGUAACAUGCCUACCCAGGUGAAAGAUUUGGAUGUGGAACUUGAAAGUACUAAGUAGAAAAGUAAACAAAACCUGCAACAAGCCAUCUUAAUUGAAAGGGAAAGAGUUACUCAAAUGCAGUGGGAUAUGGAAGAACUUCGUAGGAAGUAUUUGGAGAUGGAGUUGAAGCUCAAGUUCGAAUAGGAUGAAAAGAUUUGUUCGGAGUUGGCAAAAGUGUCCACUAUUCAUGAGAAGGAGCUGUUGCUGCCAGAAUUGGAUGUUGCAAAAGAACAACUUAAGAACCUGCAUAAACAUCAAGAAGAGCUGGAAAUGAAAUAAAAAAAGGAUAUUAAACUUCUUGUCAAAGAAGUUAAUCAUGCUAGAUUGGAAAGUUUUAGGAGAGGCUUGAGCAAAGUGAAGUAUUGUUUAUUUAAAAAUGUGAAUGUAGGAUGCAUUGUAUGAUUUGAUUGCUAUUUGUAAUAAAUGCAUCAUUUUUUUCCUGAUUGCA
Long non-coding RNA from Magnolia sinica, 526 nucleotides. RefSeq lists it as uncharacterized. Lineage: Eukaryota; Viridiplantae; Streptophyta; Magnoliopsida; Magnoliales; Magnoliaceae. The transcript has 2 exons. The record is from RefSeq and is a predicted model, not a curated record.